UCCGUUUUGUCAACGGCAGUCUCACAUGAGUGCUCAGCAUUACCUGGUGGCAACAUGUGAUGGGGGUUGCGCUCGUUGCGGCACUUAAGCCAACACCUCACGGCACGAGCUGACGACAGCCAUGCAACACCUGCACGAGUACCCGACUUUACGGGUUGGCCACCCUUUCAGGCGCCUACUUCUCGCAUGUCAAGCCUGGGUAAGGUUCUUCGCUUUGCUUCGAAUUAAGCAACGCGCUCCGCCGCUUGUGCGGGCCCCCGUCAAUUCCUUUGAGUUUCAGCCUUGCGGCCGUACUCCCCAGGCGGGGCACUUAAUGCGUUAGCGCCGGCACCCAGGGGGUCGCUCCCCCAGGCACCUAGUGCCCAUCGUUUACGGCGUGGACUAC
RNAcentral lists this unclassified non-coding RNA (385 nucleotides) under uncultured bacterium. RNAcentral's name for it is "contains 16S-23S intergenic spacer region". The record is from RNAcentral.